GAUGAAGAACGUAGCGAAAUGCGAUACGUAAUGUGAAUUGCAGAAUUCAGUGAAUCAUCGAGUCUUUGAACGCACAUUGCGCCCCCUGGUAUUCCGGGGGGCAUGCCUGUCCGAGCGUCAUUGCUGCCCUCAAGCACGGCUUGUGUGUUGGGCCUCCGUCCUCCUCCCGGGGGACGGGCCCGAAAGGCAGCGGCGGCUCCGCGUCCGGUCCUCGAGCGUAUGGGGCUUCGUCACCCGCUCUUGUAGGCCCGGCCGGCGCUUGCCGACACAUCAAUCUUUUUUCCAGGUUGACCUCGGAUCAGGUAGGGAUACCCGCUGAACUUAAGCAUAUCAAUAAGCGGAGGA
RNAcentral lists this unclassified non-coding RNA (345 nucleotides) under soil metagenome. RNAcentral's name for it is "partial contains 5.8S ribosomal RNA, internal transcribed spacer 2, and large subunit ribosomal RNA". The stretch from base 1 to 120 matches the Rfam family "5.8S ribosomal RNA", at positions 35 to 154 of the family's 154-position model. The record is from RNAcentral.